Rattus norvegicus (Norway rat) is the source of this 2653-nucleotide non-coding RNA. The record is from RefSeq and is a predicted model, not a curated record. NCBI's taxonomy places the organism in Eukaryota, Metazoa, Chordata, Mammalia, Rodentia, Muridae.
CCCUCCAGACAUUGGGUAUAAAGUGCACAGAGCCUGAGGGACUCAGCCGAUUCCCGGAUCUCAGAUGGGGGCGAUGGCCCGGCGCACGCUGCUCCUGCUGCUAGCGGCCGCCCUGGCCCCGACCCAGACCCUCCCGAGCUCACAUUCGAUGCGGUGUUUCAAAACCGCCGUGUCCCGGCCGGGCCUCGGGGAGCCCCGGUUCAUAGCUGUCGCCUACGUGGACGACACGGAGUUCGUGCGCUACGACGGCGACGCGGAGAAUCCGAGGACCGAGCCGCGGGCGCGGUGGAUGGAGCGGGAGGGGCCGGAGUACUGGGAGGAGGAGACACGGAAAAUCAAGGGACAGGAGCAGUGGUUCCGAAUGAGCCUGAGGAUCUUGCGCGGCUACUACAACCAGAGCGAGGGCGGAUCGCACACCUUCCAGAAGAUGUCCGGCUGUGACGUGGGGUCAGACGGGAGCCUCCUCCGCGGGUAUAAUCAGUACGCCUACGACGGCCACGAUUACAUCGCCCUGAACAAAGACCUGAAGACCUGGACAGCGGCGGACUUUGCAGCACUGAUCACCAAAACCAAGUGGGAUCAGGCUGGUACUGCAGAGAGAAAGAGGGCCUACCUGGAGGGCACGUGCGUGGAGUGGCUCCGCAGAUACCUGGAGCUCGGGAAGGAGACGCUGCUGCGCUCAGAUCCCCCAAAGGCACAUGUGACCCUUCACCCCAGACCUGAAGGUGAUGUCACCCUGAGGUGCUGGGCCCUGGGCUUCUACCCUGCUGACAUCACCCUGACCUGGCAGUUGAAUGGGGAGGACCUGACCCAGGACAUGGAGCUUGUGGAGACCAGGCCUGCAGGGGAUGGAACCUUCCAGAAGUGGGCAGCUGUGGUGGUGCCUCUUGGGAAGGAGCAGAAUUACACAUGCCUUGUGGAGCAUGAGGGGCUGCCUGAGCCUCUCACCCUGAGAUGGGAGGCUCCUCCAGGCACUGACUCCAACAUGGAAACCAAAGUUAUUUAUGUUGUCCUUGGAGCUGUGGCCAUGAUUGGAGCUGUGGCCGUGAUUGGAGCUGUGGUGGCUGUUGUGAGGAGGAGGAGGAGGAAGAGAAACACAGGUGGAACAGGAGGAGACUACGCCCCUGCUCCAGGCAGUGACAGCUGCCAGAGCUCUGAUGUGUCCCUCGCAGAUUGUGAAGCAUGAAGACAGCUGCCUGCAGUGGACUGAUUGACAGACGAUGUGUUCAGUUCUCUCCUGUGACAUCCAGAGCCCUCAGUUCUCUUUAGACACCACUGUCUGAAGUUUCCUGUGAUUCUAUGGCUUCAGUGUGAAGAACUGUGGAGCCCAGCCCGCCCUGCACACCUGGACCCUGUCCCUGCACUUCCUGUGUUCCCUACCAAGGCCAACCUUCCUGGUCCAGCCUGGGGGUGGGUGGUGGGGACAUCUGCGUCCGGUCACUCCGUGAUACCCUGAGCAUCAGCUCCUCACUUCCACACUGAGAAUAAGAAUCUGAGUGUGAACUUGAUUGUUCACAUCCUUGACCCAAGACUGGAUGGCUUUUUUUUUUUUUCUUUUUUUUUCGGAGCUGGGGAUAGAACCCAGGGCAAGCGCUCUACCUCUGAGCUAAAUCCCCAACCCUGACUGGAUGGCUUUUUAAUUACUGGAUGGAAUGCUUAGAAAUUCUUUGUUUUGGGUUUGGUUUUUUUUUUUUUUUGAAAAAAAAAAAUAAGAUAAAUAGCAGAUGGAGAAGUUUCCAGAAUCUGUGUCACUAAGCUGUGUGUAUCUGGUGGGACAGGAUGAGGCGGUGGGAGCUGAGUGUGAACAGGGCUAUGCCCUGAUGUGCUCAGUCAGUUUUCAUCUUUGAUGGACUCAGCCUUGGCUUUGCCACCUUGUCUGGGGCCACCCGGCCUGCUUAUGCCUUUCUUUGCCUGAGCUAGGUGUUUUCUACUUCAUGGGCCCUGGUUUCCAAGUAGCAUACAUGGGGGUUACCACCGGCCAAGAAUACUGGAGACUUCUGCUAGCUUCCUUCUACACAAGAGUCUCCAUUGACGUUCCCGUGGGCUAGGACGCUUGGUGCCCAACGUCUGGUGCCUGGAUAGUAGAGGGGGCUCCGUGAGGAAGAAGACUCACGUAGCCAGGGUUGUAUGUAGAAAUACCAUCGCAUGCCAUGGGCGCCUGCUGCAGCCGAAACGAAGGAAAACGAUUGAAUUCGGCUUGCUGGUGAUGUUCCUUUGGGUGGUCCUUUGAGCCAAUGAAAAUCACUUGUGAGGCUUCAGUACCCGGUGAAAGGGAGAGGCCUGCCAAAUCCUCAAAACAACAUCCUUCUCUGUCACUUAUGCCUCAAGUACCAUCAGGUCUGCUGGAUCAUAUGGUCCAAGAUGUUGGAGCAGCUGAACCACAGCCGGGACCUGUUGAAGAGUCUUCACCUGUCCCAGGACCCACAGGAAGUUAGCAGCUCUCUGAUUCAGAAGGCUUAUGGGCCAGAGUAACAGAUCCAAGUGAGGGAUGUGCUGUCUGCAGAAUCCAAAGACACAAUUAAGCCCUGUGCUCCUUUCUUGGUGGUAGGAGGGGCCAGGUCAGGAGCCUUCCCUUCAUCUUGGAUGGAAUGUCUGUGCCUGCUCCAUCCACUGGAUUCCUUAAUUUCACUGAAUUAAAAGGAUUUGAAUAUUU